This 292-nucleotide ribosomal RNA is filed under the name uncultured bacterium. RNAcentral describes it as "partial 16S ribosomal RNA". It matches the Rfam family "Bacterial small subunit ribosomal RNA", at positions 505 to 796 of the family's 1533-position model. The record is from RNAcentral.
GUGUCAGCAGCCGCGGUAAUACGAAGGGGGCUAGCGUUGCUCGGAAUUACUGGGCGUAAAGGGCGCGUAGGCGGAUAGUUCAGUUGGGGGUGAAAGCCCGGGGCUCAACCUCGGAACUGCCUUCAAUACUGGCUAUCUUGAGUACGGGAGAGGUGUGUGGAACUCCGAGUGUAGAGGUGAAAUUCGUAGAUAUUCGGAAGAACACCAGUGGCGAAGGCGACACACUGGCCCGUUACUGACGCUGAGGCGCGAAAGCGUGGGGAGCAAACAGGAUUAGAUACCCUGGUAGUCC